UUAUACCUUAGUUCUUAGAGAUGGGUCUUCUUUGCAUUUUAUCCUAUAGAGUGAUAAUAAACCGCAUGCUGGAGAGGUCAUUAUUACAAUCAAGGGAAGAAAGGAAGGCAUGAAGGGGAAAUGGGACUGUUUACCAAGUGUAUCUGCAGAGACGAAAGGAGACAAGAGGAAGUGCUGAGUACCUUAAUUCCUACAGAGAAUACAUCAUUUCAAAGGCAUAAGAAUUCUGCUCUGGCUUCUAAGAAGCUUACGUAUUCAAAGGACCAAAGGAAAGUGGAGGCAAAGGAAACACCUCGAAGUCCCCUGGGGCAUUGAGAACCCUGAAGGCUGUUGAGAGGAUUAGCUGGAAGAAAGAAUCUGAUGGACUGUUCCCAUUUCCUUUGCUUCUACAACGUCUCCCCUUUUUCUUCCUGAUCUCACCAUCAAGAACAGUGACAUUUGAAAAUUUUGAGCAGCAGAAGCUUUUUUAUCUAAAGCAAAUGUUGUACGCAUAAACACAUUAGGACAUGAUACAAAAA
Non-coding RNA from Microcebus murinus (gray mouse lemur), 518 nucleotides. The record is from RefSeq and is a predicted model, not a curated record. NCBI's taxonomy places the organism in Eukaryota, Metazoa, Chordata, Mammalia, Primates, Cheirogaleidae.